This is a long non-coding RNA of Cervus elaphus (red deer), 2892 nucleotides long. RefSeq lists it as uncharacterized. The transcript has 7 exons. Lineage: Eukaryota; Metazoa; Chordata; Mammalia; Artiodactyla; Cervidae. The record is from RefSeq and is a predicted model, not a curated record.
GGUGAGCUUGCCUCUCAAGCCGUAAUCGACUCUAACAUCCCCUGCUACGUGGUUUCAUGAUGGAACGUGGACUGUGACUGGGCCCCUGAGAGCCUCCUUUCAGCUCCUCCUUGGGCCCAGCGCAGUGAAAAGAGCGUGAGCUCUGGAGUCACACAGGCCUCGGACAGAACUGUGGUCAUGCAUAGAUCACUUAAUCCCUUUGAGCCUCAGUCUUCUCAUCUAUGAAACGAGAGCGGUGAUGGUGACUUCUCACGGGUUAAGGUGACUCCCACAGCUGACGGCAGCAGAGCCUGGUCAGAAUUUGCCCCAGCUGCACAUGCGGGUUUAUUCCUAGUCGCCUGUAGCCUCUCUGUAUUUCGUUGCUGGAGGAGAAGAGUGUCCAGGUGCAGGUAUCACAGCAGAGGGGCCCAGGUCCCUGCCUGUCUCAGGAGCAGUUUGUGCUGCGUCCCUCACCCCCGCCGCCCCGGGGUCCGCAUGAAUGUCCUGCCCUCUGUGUCCAUCCUACCUGCUGCCGCAGCCACACACGUCUCCCUACAGGUGCGGGGAGCACCUCCCAACAGUUUUGGAGGUAAAGCGUCAUGGAGGAGACGAGCCUGAGUCGUUCCAGACAGCCGCGUGGGCGGCUCCCAAGACCUGGGCAAAGGGAGCCUCACGCUGGGCCAACCUCGGUCCCUUAAAAUAAGAUCCUUUUACAUGGGUCCUGGGCCGGGGCUGUGCUCGGCACGGGGGACACAGCAAGAUGGCACUGGUCGGGCCUCCGAGGAGCACAGUCUAGGGUGGGGUUACACCAACCCCUCCCAGGAGUUGCUAUAGCACCAGGUCGGUGCCCCAGAGGUGAUACAGGCUGCGGCCAGAACGUGGAGGAAAGAGCAGCUUCUGGAUCUGCAGUCUUCAUGGAGGAAGUCACAUUUGAACUGGCCUUUGAGGGGCAGGCAGGUGCUGCUCUCGCCCUGGUGCCGCCAUCUGGGAGACAUAUGAGCUGGACAUCAGGCUCUCGCUGGACUCUUGGUUUUCUCAUGUCCCCAGAGCUGCCUGGACCUAGCACCCAUGAACUUUGCUCCUGGAGUUAAGGACAGUGCUGGAUUCUGCUCCUGGCAGAGAAGUGGGAAGGACCAUGUGGGAAAGAGGCUUCUGGUUUGCUCUUUCUCUCAAUCUUCAGCCUUUAAUGUUUAUAGGCUGGAGGUGAAUGUUUAUGCAGCGGAGAGGAGGUGAAGACACAGAAUGAAGACAAAAGCCCCUAGCCUUUGAUGCUUUUCUUCACGGGCUCUUUGGUGGACUCACAAGUUCAUGGAAGUUCCAUGAGCCCUGAGGCCUCGGCAGGUCCCACAGAGCACGUGGGUUCGUUACCACCAGCGUCACCUAGGAAGCCCACCUGAUGAAUCUAGAGAGCGGCGUCCCCAGACAGAACCAAAGAAAGGGAAGCGGCUGUCCCACAGGGAGGACGCUCACCACAGUUGAACGUAAGUGAGAACGAGGUACUAUUUUAAACAAGAAAACUGAAAAACAGAUGGGCUGCGGUUUCCAGACUUCACGUCUCCAACAUCAUGACAGAAACCAGGAGUCAACCCAGUGGAGGCUCUAGGACCGGAUUCUACAUUUCUGAUGCGGGCCAAGUCCUUGCUGAGGAGGCAGUGUUGGAGCUUCCGGCUGGUGGUGGGGGGACCGGGCGCCCCCCCCAACCCCGCCCUCCCAGCAUCACUGUCCCCCCGGGAGGACUCGGGACGCGGUGACUAAGCCUCGCAUGCUGUCGCCUGCACAGAAGCCGCUGAGCAACCGUCUGGAGUAGGCGCUUGGAAUUGUUUUUCUAGAGGUGGUGGCAGGAGGCCCUAGUGACCAGUGGUCUCUGCCCUCGUCCCCCCCUGGAGCCCGGGUUCUUCUUCAGAAUGGGGUUCGGCAGUGUGGGACUCCGGACCAUGUUUUAUUCUGUGCAAAGAGGCCCUUUGACAGGUCAGGUCUGAGUCCCAAACCCCUCAUCCCCUCAGAGAAGGAUGAAUUGAUCCCAGCGGACUGCUCAGCUAAACGUGACCUAAUGUAACAAGUGGCCUGGGACUGCAGAUGGACCCGGAGACUAAGCUCUGCCUCCUCAUAACUCAGACAAGGGAUCUGAGUAGAAAGGAAGUCUUGUGAACACAAGAAAAAGUACUUGGAGAAAACAUAUGAACUUUAGCUGUGGACAGGCUUGUAACAAGGAAAACUUCUCAUAGCUGGUUUGGCGGGGGUCACCAGAAAGCCCCUUCUCCUGGCAGAGGCAUGGAGUCUGAAGGAGAGCAUGUUCUGGGAGGGGGGGCCCUCACACAGUGCUCCCCAUAAUGUGCUUCAUGGAGCACUUGUCCUUGGAAGUCAUUUUCACUAGGAAAGUGUUCACUGGUCUAAUAAGAUUGAAAGAUGCUGCAUUCUCUGCUUGGAGAGUCAUGAUAUACAUUAAUAAUGACUCAAAAACCCAUACUUGAGAAAACGCUGAACUCAGUUUAACCCUGUGUUUCUCAAAUUGGCUUGAUGGUAGAACACUAACAUUGCAAAAUGUCUAUGGAACACAUUUUGCGGAAAUUUGCUUUACUGGAAGAUGUUACAUGAUGCCUGUGGUUGACAGCAUCUUCCCUUCAAGCUGGGAAGCAAAUAUUCCUCAAGGAUCACAGCCUCUGUCCAUUUGAAUGGAGGGGUGUCCGUGCUGGCUCAGGGCCAAGUUGUGUAGCCCUCGCCUGCAGCUGGAAGUUCAAUGUGACAUCCUUAAGAAGGAUGGGGCAGGGGGUAGGGGGCUUUGCCUUUAAAGAUUAGCUUCCUCAGGCUUCCCUGUGGCUCAGUGGUAAAGAAUCUGCCUGCCAGUACAGGAGACACAGGUUUGAUCUUUGGUCUUGGAGGAUCCCACAUGCUUCAGAGCAACUAAGCCCAUGC